CAGUCGCCACGGGAAUACGGAGGGUGCAAGCGUUAAUCGGAAUUACUGGGCGUAAGGCGCACGCAGGCGGUUUGUUAAGUCAGAUGUGAAAUCCCCGAGCUUAACUUGGGAACUGCAUUUGAAACUGGCAAGCUAGAGUCUUGUAGAGGGGGGUAGAAUUCCAGGUGUAGCGGUGAAAUGCGUAGAGAUCUUGAGGAAUACCGGUGGCGAAGGCGGCCCCCUGGACAAAGACUGACGCUCAGGUGCGAAAGCGUGGGGAGCAAACAGGAUUAGAUACCCCAGUAGUCCCUGUCUCUUAUAC
RNAcentral lists this ribosomal RNA (301 nucleotides) under uncultured bacterium. RNAcentral describes it as "partial 16S ribosomal RNA". It matches the Rfam family "Bacterial small subunit ribosomal RNA", at positions 509 to 807 of the family's 1533-position model. The record is from RNAcentral.